RNAcentral lists this ribosomal RNA (253 nucleotides) under uncultured bacterium. RNAcentral describes it as "partial 16S ribosomal RNA". It matches the Rfam family "Bacterial small subunit ribosomal RNA", at positions 524 to 776 of the family's 1533-position model. The record is from RNAcentral.
GACGCACCGUGCGAACGUUGUUCGGAAUUACUGGGCGUAAAGGGCGCGCAGGCGGUCGUAUAAGUCGAAUGUGAAAGCCCCCGGCUCAACUGGGGAGGGUCAUUCGAUACUGUUCGACUCGAAGGCAGGAGAGGGAAGUGGAAUUCCGGGUGUAGUGGUGAAAUGCGUAGAUAUCCGGAGGAACACCAGUGGCGAAGGCGACUUUCUGGCCUGUUCUUGACGCUGAGGCGCGAAAGCUAGGGGAGCAAACGGG